Dufourea novaeangliae is the source of this 72-nucleotide non-coding RNA. Lineage: Eukaryota; Metazoa; Arthropoda; Insecta; Hymenoptera; Halictidae. The record is from Rfam.
GCCUCUUUAGCUCAGUGGCAGAGCACUGGUCUCGUAAACCAGGGGUCGUGAGUUCAAACCUCACAGGAGGCA